UGAAAAGAACUUUGAAAAGAGAGUUAAACAGUACGUGAAAUUGUUGAAAGGGAAACGAUUGAAGUCAGUCAUACCAACGGGAAAUCAACCUUUUGAGCUUGGUCUCGUGGGUUUGAAGAGUUUCAAAGCCUUCGGAUUCGCGGGAUUGGGAUCUCUUGGUGUACUUUUUCGUACGGUUAGUCAACAUCGGUUUUGAAUGUCAUAAAAUGACUGGA
Molecule: ribosomal RNA, 215 nt
Filed under: uncultured Glomus
Lineage: Eukaryota; Fungi; Glomeromycota; Glomeromycetes; Glomerales; Glomeraceae
Description: partial 25S ribosomal RNA
Rfam family: Eukaryotic large subunit ribosomal RNA
Source: RNAcentral